Molecule: ribosomal RNA, 253 nt
Filed under: uncultured bacterium
Lineage: Bacteria
Description: partial 16S ribosomal RNA
Rfam family: Bacterial small subunit ribosomal RNA
Source: RNAcentral
UACGUAGGGGGCAAGCGUUGUCCGGAAUUAUUGGGCGUAAAGAGCGUGUAGGCGGCCAGAUAAGUCCGCUGUGAAAUCUCGAGGCUCAACUUCGAGCUGUCGGUGGAAACUAUCUGGCUAGAGUCCGGAAGAGGAGAAUGGGAUUCCUGGUGUAGCGGUGAAAUGCGCAGAUAUCAGGAAGAACACCCGUGGCGAAGGCGGUUCUCUGGGACGGUACUGACGCUGAGACGCGUAAGCGUGGGGAGCGAACAGG